AACCCUAGACAGAGGAUCACUUGGCUCAUGGGUCGAUGAAGACCGCAGCAAACUGCGCGUCGCCAUGUGAACUGCAGGACACA
RNAcentral lists this ribosomal RNA (83 nucleotides) under Chironomus crassiforceps. RNAcentral describes it as "partial 5.8S rRNA". It matches the Rfam family "5.8S ribosomal RNA", at positions 1 to 83 of the family's 154-position model. From Rfam's summary of the family: 5.8S ribosomal RNA (5.8S rRNA) is a component of the large subunit of the eukaryotic ribosome. It is transcribed by RNA polymerase I as part of the 45S precursor that also contains 18S and 28S rRNA. The record is from RNAcentral. Lineage: Eukaryota; Metazoa; Arthropoda; Insecta; Diptera; Chironomidae.